AUAAGUAUAUUAAAUAUAUUAAAUAUAUUAAAUAUAGAAUAACCGCAUAAAAGUAAACCAUAAAUAUGUUAAUAUAAUCUACAAAACUUUGUACCACCAUGAACAUACAAUUAGACUAAAUCAUAACAAUAGCUUCAAUUCAAUUUAAUUCAGAAGAAGAACAAAUGAGAGAAUGAAAGAAUGAAUGAAUGAACCACUGAUCAGUGAAGUUAUUAAUUCAAGAAAUUAAAUAAUGUAGUAAAUAGGAAAGCGUUAAGGAUAAAGUGAAAGCCGUGACCACCAUAAUGUAAAUAAUAAAGUAACGCAGUGUGAUACAAUGCAAUGUGACGUCAUAUAACAUAAAACAAAUGAAAUAUAAUGAAAUAGAAUACAAAAUUCAAGAAGUGGGCUCACUAAAAUAUAACUGUGAAGAUUAUUAAUGAAAUACUCUAUUCCUUUACACAAGUAAAUUAUAAGUUAAAUUGUGAGCGGUAUUUGGUCAAUGAUAAAUGGUCAUGUCAAUGCAAAUGCAAAUAGAACCGAUUAUUGCAUGACAUUUCAAAAAAGUGGGUAAAUAGCAACUAAAUCAAAUCAAAUGUAGACUGCGUAGUUCAAUUAACGCUGUGCUACUGUAUAGCGUAGAGAUAAAUAAAUAACUCAACAAGUAGAGUAUUAAAAACUAACAUUUAAAAUGGUGAAUUAAACAGAAACCAUGCACCUUCAAAGCACUUGAAUAGACAAAACCAUUCAGCAUCACAGAAAAAUAACAAAAUUAAGAUAAAUUAAGAUAAAUUAAGAUAAAGUAAGAUAAAGAUAAAUCAAGUCAAAUCAAAUCACCAACUUCAGCUGAUCAGAGUGGAUGAAUGGAUGAAUGGAUCAAGGAAGGAAGAGAGAAACAGCAGAAUACCAGCAAGUACAAGUAAGAAUCACAACCCCAAUGUGUCAAAGCAGUAUCAAAGCCAGCAUGCAAGGACUAGUUAAAGGAAAUAACAAAUAAGAGAGCUGAAUUGCAACUGAAAAGGAAAAGAAAAGGAGAAAGAAAGGAAACAAGAAACAGCCCAUCGUCAUGGAAGAGCAACAUUAUGACCAGAGAGAGACAUCGUGGAUAAAUUGAAUUAAAGAAUAUCAAGAACAUCAAAAUGUCCAAUGAAUAUCAAGAAUGCACAGGCAAAUCAAAACCAAUCAACCAAUCAAAACCAAAUCAAGAAGCGAUAAUGAAAUAAGUAAAUAGCAAUAACAGUGAUAAUGUGGCACAGAUGAAUUAAUAUAUAUAAAUAUAAGUAUAUUAAAUUAUAAAAUAUAGAAUAAAGAAUAACCAUAUGGAAAUAAAUCAUAAAUAUAUUAAUACAAUCUACAGAACUACAGAACUUUGUACCAUCAUGAGUUAAAUAAAUAAACUAAGUCAUAACAAUUA
Osmia bicornis bicornis is the source of this 1393-nucleotide long non-coding RNA. RefSeq lists it as uncharacterized. The transcript has 3 exons. NCBI's taxonomy places the organism in Eukaryota, Metazoa, Arthropoda, Insecta, Hymenoptera, Megachilidae. The record is from RefSeq and is a predicted model, not a curated record.